This 467-nucleotide ribosomal RNA is filed under the name uncultured bacterium. Its description in RNAcentral is "partial 16S ribosomal RNA". It matches the Rfam family "Bacterial small subunit ribosomal RNA", at positions 29 to 507 of the family's 1533-position model. The record is from RNAcentral.
ACGAACGCUGGCGGCGUGCUUAACACAUGCCGGUCGAACGGAAAGGCCCUGCUUUUGUGGGGUGCUCGAGUGGCGAACGGGUGAGUAACACGUGAGUAACCUGCCCUUGACUUUGGGAUAACUUCAGGAAACUGGGGCUAAUACCGGAUAGGAGCUCCUGCUGCAUGGUGGGGGUUGGAAAGUUUCGGCGGUUGGGGAUGGACUCGCGGCUUAUCAGCUUGUUGGUGGGGUAGUGGCUUACCAAGGCUUUGACGGGUAGCCGGCCUGAGAGGGUGACCGGCCACAUUGGGACUGAGGUACGGCCCAGACUCCUACGGGAGGCAGCAGUGGGGAAUAUUGCACAAUGGGCGGAAGCCUGAUGCAGCAACGCCGCGUGCGGGAUGACGGCCUUCGGGUUGUAAACCGCUUUCGCCUGUGACGAAGCGUGAGUGACGGUAAUGGGUAAAGAAGCACCGGCUAACUACGUG